RNAcentral lists this transfer RNA (87 nucleotides) under Chlorobi bacterium OLB7. RNAcentral's name for it is "tRNA-Leu". It matches the Rfam family "tRNA". Rfam says of the family: Transfer RNA (tRNA) molecules are approximately 80 nucleotides in length. Their secondary structure includes four short double-helical elements and three loops (D, anti-codon, and T loops). Lineage: Bacteria; Pseudomonadati; Chlorobiota. The record is from RNAcentral.
GCCCAGAUGGCGAAAUCGGCAGACGCAUCAGACUUAAAAUCUGAUGGUGCGUAAGCACCGUGCGGGUUCAAGUCCCGCUCUGGGCAC